ACGCGAAAGUCCCGCAAGGGAUCAGUAGAGUGGCAAACGGGUGAGUAACACGUGGGUGACCUGCCUUCGAGUGGGGGAUAACGUCCCGAAAGGGACGCUAAUACCGCAUGACAUCCUGCCUUCGAAGAGGUGGAGAUCAAAGCUGGGGAUCGCAAGACCUAGCGCUUGAAGAGGGGCCCGCGUCCGAUUAGCUAGUUGGUGGGGUAACGGCUCACCAAGGCAACGAUCGGUAGCCGGCCUGAGAGGGCGGACGGCCACACUGGGACUGAGACACGGCCCAGACUCCUACGGGAGGCAGCAGUGGGGAAUUGUUCGCAAUGGGCGCAAGCCUGACGACGCAACGCCGCGUGGAGGAUGAAGAUCUUCGGGUCGUAAACUCCUUUCGAUCGAGACGAACGGCUUCCGGGUGAACAAUCCGGGAGAGUGACGGUACCGAGAGAAGAAGCCCCGGCUAACUCCGUGCCAGCAGCCGCGGUAAUACGGGGGGGGGCAAGCGUUGUUCGGAAUUACUGGGCGUAAAGGGCUCGUAGGCGGCCAACUAAGUCAGACGUGAAAUCCCUCGGCUUAACCGGGGAACUGCGUCUGAUACUGGAUGGCUUGAGGUUGGGAGAGGAAUGCGGAAUUCCAGGUGUAGCGGUGAAAUGCGUAGAUUUCUGGAGGAACACCGGUGGCGAAGGCGGCAUCCUGGACCAAUUCUGACGCUGAGGAGCGAAGGCCAGGGGACAAACGGGGAUUAGAUACCCCGGUAGUCCUGGCCCUAAAACGAUGAAUGCUGGGUGUGACGGGUAUCGAUCCCUGUCGUGCCCAAACUAACGCAUUAAGCAUCCCGCUGGGGAAUACG
This 841-nucleotide ribosomal RNA is filed under the name uncultured Bacillota bacterium. RNAcentral's name for it is "bacterial SSU rRNA". It matches the Rfam family "Bacterial small subunit ribosomal RNA", at positions 66 to 884 of the family's 1533-position model. Lineage: Bacteria; Bacillati; Bacillota. The record is from RNAcentral.